UGGAAGGGGAGGGAGAUUUUUCUGGGCUUUAUUGCUCCAUGCUUGCCUGUAGUGUGUAUGUCUUUGUCCUUACAAGUCUCUGACUGUCCCUAGUCUUUGUUUCUUAGGGAAAUCGUUUGCUGUGCGUAAUCGAGAGUGGAGGGUUGUUUAAGAAGACAGGUAGGUGCUGCGCAUAGUACGAGAUCACUGCCUAGGAUGUUCCCUGUAGCAAAUUAAUCCUUUCAGAACCCCAAGAGAGGUUUAAACUGGAGCUUUGUGAUGUUUUCCCUUUUAUCCGGUAUACUUUCCAAAGGGAUGGAUAUUUCUGAGUGCAUACAUGGAACUUUGUUUCUGUGCACCCGAAUUAAGCAACGGUCCUUACCUGACUUUUGCAUGCAAGGCUUUCUCUCUGUCAUCUUGGCAAAGCAACUGGAUGUGAAUCACAGAGAAGUCAUUGAAAGAGAGUACAAGCCAAGUCUGGCGUGCUUCAUCAGUGUUCUUUUCAUUAAGGUCGUCUUUAUCAGCUGGGUGACUGUAUUUGGAGAGUACCAGGUGGGAUCUGCAAGUGUCAGUGUGUGGGAGUAUUUUGUUAUGAAAAUAGCUAAACCACCAAUGUGGACAUGUUAUUUAAAAAAACCUGAGUUAAAUGUCUAAGAAUUAGAUUAGUGUAAUCUAUAAGUUGUUUGCAGAUCCAUGUCAUAUUGUGCUGAGUUUACUUUGAUUCCUGUAAUACUGCUCCAGCUUUCAGCUUUACCACUGGGUAAAGACUUGUUGUUAUCACAUCGGUAAAGCGUGGGCUUGACACAUGCAACGUUAAACUGACAUCCGCAACUCGUUAGUAGUGUUACUUGGUUUUCCAUGUGACAUUGGUUUCCCCAAGUCGGAAGCCUAAAUAAACUGCACACAGCCUGCGAGCAGUCAGCACCAGCUAUUCCCUGCAGGGUGGUCUUUGUAGAGUGGCAGCUCCUUGCCUCUUCUUGGUGUGAUUAGUGAGACACUGAGAAAUGAGGACCAAAGCAGAAGCACAAGUGCUAGUGGAGAUGAGAAAUUUGCCAUGCUCCAGACAGGAGUGUAGUAUGCGAGCGUUUGAGUCAAAAUCUGGCUCUCUGCUGGGGCUAUGGCCAGAGCUGGUAUGUAUUACCGGUUCCUGUGUUACUGGUUUAAAUUAAGAGUGAGGCUUAUUUUUCUUUAUAUAUCAGGUUUAAACUUUCAUUAGAGAUCAGCACAAAGACAGCUGCAGGGGUGUGCUAAACUUCAGUUUCUCAUCUGUUCUCUUUUCUCAGUUCUUUACUCCUGUAUUGCUGUUCUGAGAGUGCAGCUUACUGCUUCUGGUGAUGGUUGUGAGGAGCAGAGUUAUCUGUGCGGAUAAUAGAGUUAUCUCUGCAGAUCUGUGCAGAUAACGAGGUUCCCAGAUAAUGACAUCCUAACCUGGUGUCUGUGUGGAGUGGACAACCUUCUGGAUGGUUUUUUGUUUGUUUUUUUGCUUCAGAGCUGUACAGUGGGCAAAUAGAGGUAAAGAUGAGCUCCAUUUUUGGUGAGCCAUAGGGGCUGUGAAGUGAGCUAGCUCAGCAGCAGUUCUGGAGCAGAGAUACUCAAUUCACCAUUUGCAGUGGUCUCUCGCAUGGAUUGUGCCUCACUAGUCAGCUGGAAAAGAAGACUCCACUCCUGGCCAUGAGGUUGCACUGAGUGGUUCAUUUCUCCUUCUUCCUUUUAAAAAAUUUUUUUAAACCAUUAACUUCAGAAUUCAAUCUCGAAGCAUCUCCAGGGCAAAGCAGAAAAUACAUGUCGUGUUUCCAGCCACACGGAUAGCGGGAGUCUGGCUGCAGCCACUCGGUGAGUAGCGCAUCACGCCGCUCCGUUGCUGGGUGGGUGCAGCAGCGUGUAGCGUCACAUCUGAUUAGCGCCAUGCCAGUGAAUGAGGCUUGAGUGAGGACUCCCUGCCAGCUCUGACUUGUCUCAUUUCCCAUUACUUUUAUCCGUCACCACAAAUGCCGAGUCUCCCUCCUGAACUAAUUAAGUUUGCGUGUGUUUAGACACAUUGCCAAAUAGGGUUUAGCAAAGCAGAACUGAGCAUCUCUUUUUAAAGGCAGAGAGCUGAAACAGGGCUGCUCAGACAGGAAGACAGACCCCCAGAGAUGUGGAACAUCUAGGAGGUAUUCCAGGGAAUCGCUCCGUGCUUCCCUACAAGGCUUGUGGUGUAGCUGGUGAGAUCACAAGCUGGGAACGGGAGGCACUGGGCCACUGUGAAGGGAGGUGGUCCUGCUUGCCCAGGUUUGGAGGAGUGUCCUAGUAGCAUCAUUGUGCGGUAAAAAACCCCACUGGGUUCCAGAGGGAUUCAGGACAAUGAGGUGAGUGCAGUGCUUUUGGGGCAGGUCCAUUCCUAACUCUGCUGCUCCUUUUCUCAGCUUCCUUAGUAAUGACAGCUGCUUGCAGAGCUGCUCGUGAAGCAAGCUGUGAUCCUCUUACCCGGUGUCCCACGUGGUUUGGUGUUCCUGUCCUCUGUUGUCUUUAGCUCAGCUGUUGAUGGGAAACCAUGCAGCCUUAUUUCUGGCUUUGCCAGCGUUGGCCUGGGCAUUUAGUUUGGCUUCUGUCUGCAUGUGCUGUUGAAGAGGUGAGGCAUGGUGUCUUCUGGAAAAGCCUGUCUACUGUGGGCAUUUCCAGCGGGUUCCACUUGUAAUUGCCAGGGCACUGGGAGGCACAGCGGGUGAACAAGCUGGAUGGGGGUAGUGGCUGGAACAAAGAGAAGGAAUCUACAAGACUGGUGGUGUAUGUCGGGACAAGAUGAGCAAAUAGCCCUGUCAAAGCCAAGACCUACAAUGCGUGUAGCACUCCUAGCUCAGAGAAAAGCACCAGGGGGCCAGCAGUUUUCAAGGUACUGCUCUCUGCUGAUGGUGUCUAGCAUUACCUGAGUCUGCAGGAUUCAAGGUGGAAGCUCAGCUGCUAAAGCACGUGUGAAGCGUCUUCUUGGCUCAGGAAUCUUCAGGGAACAAGACACUCUGUGGCUGCAGACUUGAUUUGGCUUGAACUAGUUUCCUCAGAAGCUCUCAGAGCUGUUUGUCUGGCUUCCCUUUGACAACAGGGAGCACGAGUCACGAGGAGCUGGGUACCCAGAAGAGGACACCAGGCAUGUGACAAGGGCUUAUGGUUCAGGAUGAGUCAAGCUCUUUGGCCAUGCCACCAAAGGCUUUGUCGUGGGUGUGGUGCACCAUCAGGAGAGUCCCUGUGGAGGGUUUGGUUGCUGCCGAAGAGAGACCAUUGUGUGAAAGGGCUCAGAAAUGGAGUGCUGAUUUUCUGCUGGCUGCGCUUGGAUCAACCAGCUUUCAGCAUUCGGUGUGUGUGAACCAGGCUGGAGUCGGGGAGACAGCAGCUCUCUCCUGCCACCCCUCCCCUUCCCUCUUGUUAAGAUGCAAUUUCUUUAAUGAGGAAAACCUCUUGAGUAAGAACAUCACCUUUCUGAAGGCUUGUCCUGACAAGGCAGUUCAAGCCGACAACUUCAGCAAAUAUCAGUCACUCAUUACAGAGAUUCUUCUCCCCCCGCACCCCCCAGCAACACCCCUCGUUCCCAGACAAGGGAAUGAAUCACACUCCUGCUCUUGAAUACAUCAUGACAAGUCGUGGUUCUAAUGAGAGAGGGCCAUUCAUUCUGGGUGGAAAGUUCCCUGUGUCGACACAGAAACGUUAUUAAUUAAAGAGAGCUACCUGAAGCAAAAGAUGAAAGGAACACCAGACCUGCCAAGCUAAAAUACGAGUGGGGAUACAGCCUCGUUAGGCACACGGUCCUCGGGCCGCUGAGUGCUCAGCGGGAGGAUUCCUUUAGCCUGUUGCAAGGAGCUUAUCCUCCAAGUUUAACAGCUCUGGGGCCAAAUUCAGACACCUGGUGUGGUCUGCUUUAGUGCUUGGACCUCGUCUUGCACCUAGGAUGGAACUGUCACUGGUGAUUAAGCAGAUUGCAUUGAUGCGGCGUUGGGUGGUGAGGGGAAUGUGCUCUGAUGGGCUGCGGGAGCUGCUGACGGCAGGAGGCAGUUGUGGUGGAAAAGAGGGUACUCGGUGUCUGCCAGGGUUGAGCCCCUGUAAUGUGAGCUCUUUAGUGUGGUUUAUCUCCUCUGAAAUGUCAAAUUGCCUCCAUCCGUGUGUGGAACCGGUUUGCCUGUUCUUAAGCACAAUGUGAAUUAAACGUGGCAACUGAAGAAGCAUUUUUACUGCGUGUUCAUAGCUACAGAGCUGAGGUACGGUGGGGUUAAGUGAUGUGCCUGUGGCCGUGCAGGUACAGGCAGAGGCAGGGAAAGGAGCUGAAACCACAUGUGCUGCAUCUCUUAGACCUGCACCUUAACGUCAAGAGCAUCAGUUAAUCCUUCUCCUUCCAGUUUUGAAUCAUUCUGCAAAUGAAUUGAGCAUAGUUAAAAAUGCAUGUAGGCUUUGGUCUGUAUACCUCUGACACAUCUGAAGAUGCUUGUACUGCACUUGCUGUGGCUGAUCAGAAUGUGCUAAUUUAUGUCUUUACAGGAAAAUACUGCUCAGAAGUUUUUUAUUUUCUCAAAUAAGUGUUAAAAGGCAAGUACUCUCUAAUAUAGUGAUAAAACACAGUGAAGUGUCUUGAAAUGUUUAUAGCCCUUCGUGCUCUUCCUAGGUUGCAUAUUAGUAAAUUCCGAGCAGUAAAUGAUACCAUUGCUUAAUUUUAUCUUACUGUUUUAAUUCUUUCUUUGCACGUUACACAGGCUGGGAGGAUGCUUGCUUUCUCACACCAUCUCCAAGUGUGGCUAUGGGUUGGUCUUUCCUGGAGAUUUGGCUUGAGAUCAGCCUUGGGUCAUAAAUGAAGAAGGAUUGAUGGUGUUAGUGUCCCUUGUGCAUGCUGUUCUUUGUCACAGGACCAGGAGGGGGUUGGUAAUCUCUGCCUGAAUGGAGUGAGUGGGACCUCUUGGGUAGCUGUGGGGAGAGGCGGGAGAAGGCGCCGGGUGGGAUGGUUGGGUGGCAGGAGGUAAGUUAUGUUCAGAGGGUGCCUUUGAGAGUAACAAGAAAGAGCUGGUAAUGGAAAGAUAACAUAGUAAUCUGUGUUUUAAAAUAACAAACAAACAAAACAAAAAAACCUCAAACAAACCAACAACAACAAAAAAACAAUUCCUUUCCGACUAAGGUCUUUGGAUUAGCUUGUUGUUGCUUUGAGUGGGGAGCGUUUUGCUGACCAAGCCUAUGGUGUAUCUCUUCACGUUUACACUGGCUGAAGGAAGAGGGUGGUGUGAACUACAGCGCAGGAACGGGACUGAGUAUCCAGGGUCAGGAACCUUUCAAGUCAGCUUUGCUGAUGGAGUUGUUCAUGUAAUUACAUCCUAAAGUGCUUUGCCGGAGCUAAGCGAGGCAGCCUUGUGAGCAUGCUCUUCUUUAGCACUUACCGGGAGUAGCACUGACCCCAUUCACUUCUGCAGCCCCGCAGUCCAGCUUUUUGUUUUUAAAGGAAAUGAUGCCACUUACGCAAAAUAAACUUUGUUUUUUAAGAUUCCCCUCUGAACAUGCUUAUUUAAAAUGAAUGUAGCGCACUUGACUUUUGUUAUCCUUCUUCUGUUCUUGCCUUUGUUUGAGAUCUAUUGGUUGCAUGCGCUUCUGCACGUUAUGUUGUCCGAGAUGUGUGACUCUGGGAAUGCCUUUGGGUUGAGCUUUGGACAUGAAAUCUUUCCACGGGGAUCAUCAUGCAAUGGACAGUCACCUUCAGGUCUGCUACUUGCUUGGCAUGUCAUAGCAAAGACAUUUGUCGUAGUCAAGGCUGCAGUGGCCACAGAUUUAUUGAGCUGUGAUGCUUGAGGUGCUCUGGGGACCACGGGCUCUGCUGCCUGGGAAUUAGGGCCAAAGAAGUUGGAAGCAGCCUGAAAGAUGGGGGAGAAAUUUGGAAUACAAUUACAGUGUAGGGGGGAAUGAGACAGGCAUUACAUCAAGUGCUUUAUUUCCAGCACUGAGCUGUUGGGAUGGGGUAAUAAAUGGAGUACGUGGAUUUUUCCAUCCCGGAGUGACGUAACUCGAGCUACAUUUGGAAACAGUCACACUGAACUGAAUACAAGCUGUUGGUCUUGGUGUCAUCUGCUCAUGCAGUAAGGAGCCAUAAUUCCCUCUGCAGUAGGCAUUUCUAAGGUGAAUUCUGUGUCUAGCAUUGAUAGCAAAUUCAGGCAAAAAGGUUUCAAAAUCAAUGGCUCUGUAAUGGGUAUUUGGUAUAAAGCACACCCUGGCCUCUGCCUGUGUAAGAGAGACCCCUAACAGCAACUUGGCAUCGUGGUUACCACGUGCCCUGGGGAACUGAGAAGCUGGUUGGCUUGGGGACUACAAAGGAUAAACCACCAGAGGGCUUUUUGCCAUCUGAAUUUUGUUGUCUGUGGCAUGUGUGAAAAAUAGGAUUAGCUUCGCAAGUGUGAAUUUUCUUUAUUACUGCAAAAAGCUUAAGUUUUCUAGCAUUAGACAGCACUAGUUUUCCUUGAUGGGGCUAAAAUGUCAGCUGUCUCAUUUUGGAUCUUGACUCUUCUUACUUCCCAGCUGAAGCGAAGCAGUUGUGUGUUGGUCCCAGUGCUCCUUCCCAGUGGCUUGGCUGGGAGUGACGCUCCUGUGGCUGCUCUGCUGAGAGACCUCUGCUUGAAGAGUACUGCCAGCCGGGGAGCAGCCUCCUGCCCCUUUCACUUGCUCUGUUCAAGCCUUGUGGAAGUCGGUAGCUUACUUGAAAGCAUUUUAUUUUGUUUGCGUGUUCGUUUUCUGUUGGGAGCCAUCUUCCUGGAUGGGAUCAGUCCCUUUCCUUCUGAAGCUCCUGGCUGGCAAAGACCUACUGGGCCAUCUUGAGGUCAUCCCUGGUAUUUUCCCUCCAGCAUAUUCUCACGUGCCUUGUCCAGCAAGUCUCGUCAUCCUGAGGAAUGGAUGUCUGGGUGUGUGCAGGUCUCUCGGGAGGAUGCUGCAGCUGCAGAUUAACUUUUCAAGUUGAAUCUGUUCCACAUCCGAGUCACCUUUCCGUGUGUGUUUGGCCAGGGUGCUGCCCUCAGCCUGGCACCACAGAGAUGGUGGUGUGUGCUCAGAGAUUGCUCUGGACAAGGUGUUAGCAAAGAUGUGAGGCACAUGGAGGUGGUACUAGAAGAAAGAGCAGAACAGAGGAGUUGGGGGAAGAAGACUGAGGAAGCAGUGCCUUGUGCUGGCAGGGCUGUGUGCAGGCAGGUCAUGCUACGCAGAACUUUGUCCUGCUUUGGUCAAAGAAUCAUGGGUUGGAAGGGACCUUAAAGAUUUAUCUAGUUCCAACCCCCUGCCAUGGGCAGGGACACCUUCCACCAGACCAGCUUGCUCAGAGCUCCAUCUGGUAUGGCCUUGAACACUUCCAGGGAUGUGGCAUCCACAGCUUCUCUGGGUAGCCUGUUUCAGCACCUCACCACCCUUGUGGUGAAGAAUUUGUUAAUUACAUCUAAUCUAAAUUUACCCUCUUUCAGUUUAGCGCCAUUACCCUUUAUCCUAUUACUGGGUGCUCUUGUAAAAAGUCCUGCUCCAGCUCCAUCUUUCCUGUAGGUCCCCUUUAGGUACUGGAAGGCUGUUAUAAGGUCUUCCUGGAGUCUUCUCCAGGCUUAGCAACCCCCACAACUCUCUCAACCUAUAUUCAUAGGAGAGGUGCACCAGACCUCUGGUCAUCUUUAUGGUCCUCCUCUGGACCCUCUCCAACAGGUCCAUGUCCUUCUUAUGGUGGGGGCCCCAGGGCUGGAUGCAGUUCUGCAGGUGGGAUCUCAUGAGAGCAUAGUAAAGGGGGAGAAUCACCUCCCUUGACCUGCUGGUCACACUUCUUUUGGUGCAGCCCAGGACACAGUUGGCUUUCUGAGCCACAAGUGCACAUUGCCUUGUCAUGUUGAGCUCCUCAGCAACUGACACCCCCAAGUCCUUCUCCUCAGGGCUGCUCUCAAUCCAUUCUCUGCCCAGCCUGUAUUUGUGCUUGGGAUUGCCCUGGCCCACUUGCAGGACCUUGCACUUGGCCUUGUUGAACUUCAGGAGGUUUUCACGGCCCCACCGCUCAAGCCUGUCAAGGUCCCUCUGGAUGGCAUCCCGUUUCUCCAGCAUGUCAGCUGCACCACACAGCUUGGUGUCAUUGGCAAACUUGCUGAGGUUGCUCUCCGUCCCACUGUCCAUGUCACCAACAAGGACGUUAAACAUCUGGUCCCACUAGCUUUGUCUGCCUCUAUUUGAGCAGGGCUUGCUCCUUCCCUUUGCCCAGCUCUGGGACACUCUUCGUUUGCCAUUUUACCAUAGGUGCCUCUUGGUCAUCUUGAAUUUCCCUGCUUCAGUUUUUCCAUCGGAGUGUUGAGCCAGCUCUCAGGUCUGACCAUCCGACCAGCAUGCCAGCGGUGCCUGGGCACCGACUGCGUGCAGCUCCUUGUCCCUGCCUGGAGUCACCCCUGUCCCCUGCAAACCCAGCGGAGGGAGGAGGCUGGCGGGAGGUUGCCAAGACCUCUCCUCCUGCUCGCUGUGCUCCCAGCUCUGAAGGGAGCUGUUACAUUUUAUGGACCAUUUAGCUUCCCAAUGGUGAUCCUAAUUCUUCACAGCAUGUAUGUGCCAUUUCUUGGUUAUUAAAAGGACCCCUGAAAAGGAGCUGCCCUCUGAGUCAGUGCUCUUCCAUGCAGUUAAUUGCAGGCGGCUUUUGCUUAGACUGUGAGGCUUAAUAUUUCCAAACUCUCUCUGUGCUAAGAGGGUCAAUUCAUACCUAAGUCUCCCCGUGGCUGCAGGACUGACCCUUGCACGCCGUCAGUAAGUGUGCAGGGAAGGAAGGCUUCUGCUGGGAGUAAUUCAAACUUUGAAUUGCUCUGGAGGAAGUCCACUUGCGUUCUGUGUAGAGAUCAAGAGUGCUUUAAGGGCUGGCUGGCCAGGUGUCUCAGUCUUUCAUCUCUAUAUCCUUAUAUUGUGUGACACUUCAGAUACCAAAAUAGCUUCCAUCCCUUGGGGGCCCAAGCAAGCUCCACGCUUACUGGAAAAGGAGUGAUUACCUUGGACUGAUGAGUCAGUUAAAGGAUGGGUGGCUGCGGUUGCACAGCAGGCCUGAAGCAAAUCGCUGGCUUAAGGGGCUCUAAGGACCUGGGUUUUGCACUGGAUUUACAGGUAAGGCGAAAGUAGGAGGGGGCUAAGUAAUUAAUUCCUCUUGCUGUGACCAGGAUGGGAGAUGAUUCUGACUUGCCACUUCUCCUCAUAAGUUUCUUCAGAAGCUGGUAAGGACUCUGGUUGUGAAACCUGGAAAGCAAAGAGGAUCCCUGGGUGCCUGACAAUUCCUUUUCUCUGCUGGUUCUUUCUCGCAGGCAGCCUCAGGCUGCCUGUCUCUUUGUUAAGAGAGUGACAGCAAUGUGACACUGUGAAAAUAAUUACUAACAAAUCACGGUGGUGACUGCAAACAGCUCGCUGUCUUCAGAGGCAUGUCAGGGAGCAUUAGAGCAGGGCCGUGGGAGCGGCGGAGCGGCUAGGGGCUCUUUCUCUGCGCUAGGCUGCGGGAAGAUCUUCGGAGACCUUUGGCGCCUGCCACCCCCACAUCAUUCCCUUCUCGUUGGAUUUUUCUGUCUUUCCUCCCUUCCCUGCCUCUGCCAUCAAUAAUUAAGCCCAUUAAUUGCACACUGAGUUCAGGAAAGCCGAGAAUGGUUAAGACCAUGCUUCUACCUUCCCUGGAUUCAGCAACCAGCCACAGAGCAACAGAGGGGUUUCUGGAGGGGUAUCAUUGGCAGAAGCACAUCCACGGUGUAUUUCUUAUCUUACAGCCCUGUGUGCUGCCCUUGGCAGUAAAGUUGGGAGCUGUGUGCCCAUAGGAAUUCAUGGGCUACUGGUGCAGUUGAAGGGUGGCCUGUGUCCUUGUCCUCAGGAGCCUCCCAGUAUCAGUGAACCCAAAAGUAAGUUUGUAUUUGUGUAGAGUAAACAAGCAGUUGACUGGCAUCCCCAGCAAAAAAAUGGGCAGAGGAACAAGAGGUCCUUCCAGGAUGCAGUAGGGAUGGUGCUGAUCAGCGUGGCUGUAGCUGCAGCUGAAGAUGAUCAGAGAGCAGUGGACAGGUCAUGGGUAAAGAAGGUGGUUGGUACCAAACAAAGGGAUGAGGCCACUGUGGCUGCGUCAGAGUAGGGACCCUUCUGCAGAGCUACACAGGCAGAGUCUGAGGGGAAGCUCUUUAUAAAGCCUCUCAUUAUAUUGCUAUAAAGCUCCUUCCAAAGGGGUGGUCUAGCAGAGAUACUGAUAGGAAGCCGGAAAGCAGCUGCUGGCUCAAGUGUCCUUCAGCAGCGUUGAUAGUGAAACCCCUGGGCAACCUUUGGGAGGGGAGCUCAUGGCCUCCCCUCCUUGUUCGUGGUGGUAUUUCAUCCUCCGCUUUGAGAACGGGCUGUGCUGUCUGGCAAUGGCCUGAGCGGAGCAGUGCCCUGCAAGGGGCAGCAGAGGGGGCGGGUGGGAGCCCACUCCCAGGUGCCCGCUGCACCGAGCAGCCCUCUUUCCCAUUCCCCUACUUACUCAAGUGAUUUUCCCAACUGUCACAUCUGUAAAUAAUGUUGCUGGCAUAUCUAGCUAGACACAGAGUGGCCACAGAGGGGGAAGGGCUGGCGCUGAGGGUGGCUGCAACAGCCCCUCUCCCCAGCUCAUGCAAUAUUUAUGCAGGGCUGGGAGUCGGCGGCACUGACCUCCGGGUCGUGCUGUUAAACAGCUCCCGCAGCCCCUGCAUCCUAAUUGCUGCACUUGUCCUUUGCUCUGGAGGAUUCGUUGCUCCUUCUCUCUGGCGAAUAAAUACUAAUGGCAGCUUGUGCUUGGAGGUGGGGAGCGGUCUCGUCCCCCCAAGGAAAAGACAAACUUUUUUCCCCUUGAGCAGGUGGAAUUUGGAACGACACAGAAACCUGUGCUCAGACGCUGUUAGAAGACAUGCCAGGCUCCCCACUGCUGCCAGCCUGGAGGCUGUGCUGGGAGCCCAGGGAACUGUUGUACAUGUAAUUUUGGGUUGUGUAUCAUCAGAGGGGAUGGGGAGGGGGUUUACCCCAUCCCACUGGCUCCUUACAGGAUUUUUUUUUUCCCUUUAGUGGGGAGAGGGAAGAAGAGGCAAUCACAGAAGUCAGUCAAGAGAGGGUAGACCUGGAUGAUGUGGUGCCAGAGGAGGGCAGAGACAGAAAGAAGAGGGAUUCAAACAGUGUCACAAGAGAGAACAGUAUAUUUUCUUGCAGAUAAGUGAUCUGCUUCAGUGGGUGAGAAGAGAGGUGAUACAGAAGGCUGGAGGCCCUCUGUGUGGUUGGGGGGCUGCUGUUCCACUUCGCAAGCGGUACAGCUGUGGCUGGAGGUGGAGAGGUUUUUCACUUGGCAGGCAGGGACUUUCAGCCAAUUCAAGCAGUUCAAUAAAGCCCAAAAGAUAAAGCUCUUUGACUGCUAGAGCUGCCAUGGCUUUUCCCCAUGCCAUUUUGCUGGGCUCUGUCCUGCUUGGGGCUUCACGUCGGGUGUCUGCCAGUCCAGUGACCCGACCGGCCACCCACGUCCCUUACUUAUCCUGCUUUCCUGAGUUGGCAGGUCCCCUUUGUGACUGGAAAAGUGCUGUUUAGACUGGAGACUAAUGGCCUUUAAGUGACAUGAUUGUAUUAUGUUAAACGUCUAUAGGCUUUACCAUUAGGCACUAAGCAGUUUAUGACUCAUAGCAGUGAAGCCCUUGUCCUGAAGAGUUUAUACGCUAAAUGGUCUGGACAGGCAAAGCACAGCAUAGCCAAGGUUUCCUCCUGCCUGUCUUACAGCAGGUCUGAGGAAGGACUGGGACAUACAUAUCUUAGUUCUAGAGCAGCACCUAGUUCUAGAUCUUGCAUGCUCUGGUCUCCUGGGGAGAAAUACUUCUGCAAUGGGAAUUGUACGGUGGGAAGAGGAGCGCGUUUAAUUUUAGCUUAGAUUUUGUAUGUGUUUUGGUUUUGAGGGAGCUUAGACAUGAAGUGUUGUGGAUGCAUCCAUUGCAUCAGGUACAUUCCCUCUCUCAGUGUGUAGUUACAGUAUUCUGCAGCAGGAGUCUGGAUGCUUUCUAAUAUGCAAAGGACAAGGCAAUUACAAAAUUAGUGUCUGUAUGCAAAACUUCGUAAGAGACCAUAUAGAUGGAGAAAGGACAUGUUCUGUAUAACCAAGCUCUGCUGCAGCGUGAAUCACAGAAAUAUGUAAAUAGAGAUCUCUAAUCCAGCCCCCUGCUUAAAACAGAACGAACUUCAAACUCAGAUCAGGUUGCUCAGGAUCUUCUCCAGAUGAGUCUGAAUGUCUCCAGGGGAGGAAACACCCCCACCAGUCUGUUCCAGUGCUUUAUCACCUGCACAGUGAAGAGAUUUUCCUAAUGACAGAUUAGAAGUUCAUGUGGUCACGUUGGGUGAGAACGUGCCUGUGUGGUAGAUGUACACAGUGUCUAAUUUUGUACACUCCUAUUCAUAAGAUGCUGUAUAAUGUCAUAUUUAGGAAGCAGAUGGACUGUCAUAACAAUCUUGUAUGUAGAAAUCUGGUUUUAAGGGUUUUUAUUGUAGUGCCAGGUUGCCAAGGCUGGGGGGGGCACCUCAGCCUUGGAGACUGAGUUUCUCUUUCCUUGGGAGCAGUGUCAUGCACUUCUGAUGUCAAAGGGAAGUCUACCCAGUCAUCCUCCCUGUCUGGAAGGGCUGGUGAGAAAGAGCAUUUGCUCUACCCUUCUGCUGGUCUGGAGGACUCAGUAUGGAUGAGUGCAAAACUUGUGCUUGCUGCACUCCUAACCUCAGCUGAACCGUGGAGCCAGCAAGCUCUGGUUUCCUGCAUGGUAAUUAACUAGCUAUUUAAAAAUCAAAAGGCUCAGUUCUGAUCCUGCUCGCACUAGCUAAUUACUAACUCCAGGUAGAGUUACUCCAGAUUUACUCCCACAUGCAUAGCAGCAGAAUCAGGCUCAGUAAAUAGAGCUAUGAAUCUUUUUAAGAGAAGCUGUUAAGCAGUAGCACAUGGAUUUAUUGUAGCAUCAUGUGUGUGCAAUUGCUGAUGAACAUCUUCUGUUGGAGGCUGCAUACCUGCUGUGUUACAGCCUUGCUUUUAAUGUUGAGAUAGCAUCUCUGCCAGCAUCUCGCUGACGCACAGACAGAUACCCGUAAAAGGGCCAGAUCUCGCAUGGUGUUAAAUGCCUUCAUGUUUCAUUAAGGUUGAUGGCAGUGGAAGGCACACGGGGCUUUGCAAGACGAGCAAGUCACGAUGAGCCACUUGCCCUGUGUGCGUUUUGUGGCAGAAUUAUUUUCCUAGUGUACACAUUGCUCUGGUUGCAGUUUGGGGUAACAGCCUUUUCCAUGUGCAGGCUGGCUGCUUGGGAAGCAUGAGUGUUGAGGUUCUCCCAAAUUUCUUAGUACCCAGCAAAAAUUUAGAGAAGAGGGAUCUGGCUGUUAACAUGUGAUGGGUGUUCAUGCAUUUCAGCCAGUGCUGCUGUGAGUCCCAAACGUUAAGGCUUGCAGAUUGCCUUUUAAGCUUCCUGGGCAGGAAUGUGCCUGGUGGAGAGAGAAGGCAGCACUGUCCAGAAAGAGCAUCAUAGAAAAAGGAGGUCUGAAAGUGCCAGGUAUUAGCCUCGCUGCUUAGCCCGGGUUUUUUGGCCUCAUUACACUAAUCCAA
Long non-coding RNA from Columba livia (rock pigeon), 13546 nucleotides. RefSeq lists it as uncharacterized. The transcript is spliced from 2 exons. The record is from RefSeq and is a predicted model, not a curated record. NCBI's taxonomy places the organism in Eukaryota, Metazoa, Chordata, Aves, Columbiformes, Columbidae.